This 234-nucleotide unclassified non-coding RNA is filed under the name Human immunodeficiency virus 1. RNAcentral's name for it is "env". It matches the Rfam family "HIV Rev response element", at positions 51 to 284 of the family's 337-position model. Rfam says of the family: The Rev response element (RRE) is encoded within the HIV-env gene. Rev is an essential regulatory protein of HIV that binds an internal loop of the RRE leading, encouraging further Rev-RRE binding. This RNP complex is critical for mRNA export and hence for expression of the HIV structural proteins. The record is from RNAcentral. Lineage: Riboviria; Pararnavirae; Artverviricota; Revtraviricetes; Ortervirales; Retroviridae.
AGGAGCUUUGUUCCUUGGGUUCUUGGGAGCAGCAGGAAGCACUAUGGGCGCAGCAUCAAUAACGCUGACGGUACAGGCCAGACAAUUAUUGUCGGGUAUAGUGCAACAGCAAAGCAAUUUGCUGAAAGCUAUAGAGGCGCAACAGCAUAUGUUGCAGCUCACGGUCUGGGGCAUUAAGCAGCUCCAGACAAGAGUCCUGGCUAUAGAAAGACACCUAAGGGAUCAACAGCUCCU